RNAcentral lists this ribosomal RNA (433 nucleotides) under uncultured bacterium. RNAcentral's name for it is "partial 16S ribosomal RNA". It matches the Rfam family "Bacterial small subunit ribosomal RNA", at positions 29 to 507 of the family's 1533-position model. The record is from RNAcentral.
AACGAACGCUGGCGGCAUGCCUAACACAUGCAAGUCGAACGAGACCUUCGGGUCUAGUGGCGCACGGGUGCGUAACGCGUGGGAACCUGCCCUUAGGUUCGGAAUAACUCCCCGAAAGGGGUGCUAAUACCGGAUAAUGUCUUCGGACCAAAGAUUUAUCGCCUUUGGAUGGGCCCGCGUUGGAUUAGCUAGUUGGUAGGGUAAAAGCCUACCAAGGCGACGAUCCAUAGCUGGUCUGAGAGGAUGAUCAGCCACACUGGGACUGAGACACGGCCCAGACUCCUACGGGAGGCAGCAGUGAGGAAUAUUGGACAAUGGGCGAAAGCCUGAGCCAGCAAUGCCGCGUGAGUGAUGAAGGCCUUAGGGUUGUAAAGCUCUUUUACCCGGGAUGAUAAUGACAGUACCGGGAGAAUAAGCGCCGGCUAACUCCGUG